This 624-nucleotide unclassified non-coding RNA is filed under the name Hevea brasiliensis (rubber tree). The record is from RNAcentral. Lineage: Eukaryota; Viridiplantae; Streptophyta; Magnoliopsida; Malpighiales; Euphorbiaceae.
GCAAGCCCUAAUCCCUCUCAUUCGAUCCCAAUCAAUCCCAGCCAUGGAAGACGAUUUCGAUUUCGCCCCCGUCGAGGAGGAGAUGAUGGACGACCCGAUGGAUUUCGCUGACGACCCCGACCUCAAGGUUGGCGAGGAGAAGGAGAUCGGCAAGGAGGGGCUCAAGAAGAAGCUCAUCAAGGAGGGCGAGGGGUGGGAGAAGCCGGAGGUCGGCGAUGAGGUCGAAGUACAUUACACUGGAACUUUGCUUGACGGGAGUAAGUUUGAUUCUAGCCGUGAUCGAGGAACUCCUUUCAAGUUUAAGCUCGGCCAAGGUCAAGUAAUUAAGGGAUGGGACCAAGGCAUUAAGACUAUGAAGAAGGGCGAGAAUGCCAUCUUCACAAUCCCACCUGAGCUGGCUUAUGGCGCAUCUGGUUCUCCCCCGACCAUCCCGCCCAAUGCCACUCUUCAAUUUGAUGUAGAGUUGCUCUCAUGGUCCAGUGUGAAGGAUAUAUGCAAGGAUGGAGGUAUCAUCAAGAAGAUUCUCAAGGAAGGAGAGAAAUGGGAGAACCCAAAAGAUCUUGAUGAAGUCUUUGUGAAAUAUGAGGCUCGGCUUGAGGAUGGUACUGUGGUAUCUAAAUCUGA